UUUCCGUAGGUGAACCUGCGGAAGGAUCAUUCAUAAUAAGUGUUUUAUGGCACUUUUUUAAAUCCAUAUCCACCUUGUGUGCAAUGUCAGGGUUGAUUUUUCUCUCAAAAGGAUCAGCCCCAAACAUCAACUAUAUCUCAACUCUUUGUCUGAAAAAUAUUAUGAAUAAAACAAUUCAAAAUACAACUUUCAACAACGGAUCUCUUGGCUCUC
This 213-nucleotide unclassified non-coding RNA is filed under the name plant metagenome. Its description in RNAcentral is "partial contains small subunit ribosomal RNA, internal transcribed spacer 1, and 5.8S ribosomal RNA". The record is from RNAcentral.